UACAGAGGUGGCAAGCGUUGUUCGGAAUUACUGGGCGUAAAGGGCGCGUAGGCGGUCUUGUAAGUCCCGUGUGAAAGCCCCCGGCUCAACCGGGGAAUGGCACGGGAAACUGCGAGGCUUGAGUUCGGGAGAGGGAAGCGGAAUUCCGGGUGUAGCGGUGAAAUGCGUAGAUAUCCGGAGGAACACCAGUGGCGAAGGCGGCUUCCUGGACCGAUACUGACGCUGAGGCGCGAAAGCUAGGGGAGCAAACGGG
Molecule: ribosomal RNA, 253 nt
Filed under: uncultured bacterium
Lineage: Bacteria
Description: partial 16S ribosomal RNA
Rfam family: Bacterial small subunit ribosomal RNA
Source: RNAcentral